GUCAUUCGCUUGUCUCAAAGAUUUACCCAUGCAUGUCUAAGUUUAACAAUUUAAACUGGAAACUGCGAACGGCUCAUUAUAUCAGUUAUAGUCCAUUUGAUAGUCUUUUUUACAAGGAUACUUGUGGCAAAUCUAGAAAUAAUACUUGCAUCAAAAGGCGACUCUUUGGAAGCCUUGCAUUUGUUUGAUUUAAACCAAUACCUUUCGGGGUUACCAUGGUGAUUCAUAACAACUAAGCGAAUCGCAGAGCUUCGGCGGCGAUGAAUCAUUCGAGUUUCUGCCCCAUCAGGUGUCGAAGAUAGCGUAUUGUGCUAUCUUGCCAGUCACGGGUGACGGAGAAUCAGGGUUCGAUUCCGGAGAGGGAGCCUUAGAGACGGCUACCACAUCCAAGGAAGGCAGCAGGGGCGUAAAUUACUCAAUACCGACACGGUGAAGUAGUGACGAGAAAUAUCAUUAAGGAGCCCUUCGGGUUUUUUAAAUGAAAUGAGAGCAAUCUAAAAACCUCAUCGAGGAU
This 514-nucleotide ribosomal RNA is filed under the name uncultured eukaryote. RNAcentral's name for it is "SSU rRNA". It matches the Rfam family "Eukaryotic small subunit ribosomal RNA", at positions 23 to 544 of the family's 1831-position model. The record is from RNAcentral.